GACGAACGCUGGCGGCGUGCUUAACACAUGCAAGUCGAACGGAAAGGCCCUGCUUUUGUGGGGUGCUCGAGUGGCGAACGGGUGAGUAACACGUGAGUAACCUGCCUGUGACUUUGGGAUAACGUCAGGAAACUGGGGCUAAUACCGGUUAGGAGCUCCUGCUGCAUGGUGGGGGUUGGAAAGUUUCGGCGGUUGGGGAUGGACUCGCGGCUUAUCAGCAUGCUGGUGGGGUAGUGGCUUACCAAGGCGUUGACGGGUAGCCGGCCUGAGAGGGUGACCGGCCACAUUGGGACUGAGAUACCGCCAAGACUCCUACGGGAGGCAGCAGUGGGGAAUAUUGCACAAUGGGCGGAAGCCUGAUGCAGCAACGCCGCGUGCGGGAUGACGGCCUUCGGGUUGUAAACCGCUUUCGCCUGUGACGAAGCGUGAGUGACGGUAAUGGGUAAAGAAGCACCGGCUAACUACGUG
This 468-nucleotide ribosomal RNA is filed under the name uncultured bacterium. RNAcentral's name for it is "partial 16S ribosomal RNA". It matches the Rfam family "Bacterial small subunit ribosomal RNA", at positions 28 to 507 of the family's 1533-position model. The record is from RNAcentral.